This 219-nucleotide unclassified non-coding RNA is filed under the name uncultured Mycena. Its description in RNAcentral is "sequence contains ITS1". The record is from RNAcentral. Lineage: Eukaryota; Fungi; Basidiomycota; Agaricomycetes; Agaricales; Tricholomataceae.
UUGAAAUAAUCUGUGGGUGCUGUGCUGGCCUCUCGGGGCAUGUGCACGCACUUGCUAAUUAUCAUUAUCUUCUUGUGAACCUAGUGUAGUCGUUUUGGCUUUUGAAGUGUAUGGGGGCAACCCUGUAGGCUUUGAAGGCUCGAGCGACUAUGAUUUUAUAUAAACUAUUGUCUGUCCUAGAAUGUUACUUUAUUGACUGCAAAGUCAGUAAACUUUAUA